RNAcentral lists this ribosomal RNA (905 nucleotides) under bacterium enrichment culture. RNAcentral describes it as "bacterial SSU rRNA". It matches the Rfam family "Bacterial small subunit ribosomal RNA", at positions 28 to 903 of the family's 1533-position model. The record is from RNAcentral.
GACGAACGCUGGCGGCGUGCUUAACACAUGCAAGUCGAACGGAGAUUAAGAGGAAGCUUGCGAAUCUUAAUUUUAGUGGCGGACGGGUGAGUAACGCGUGGGCAACCUACCUAUUAGUGGGGGAUAACAGUUGGAAACGACUGCUAAUACCGCAUAAGCUGAAAAAGACGCAUGUUUUUUUCAGGGAAGAUGGCCUCUUUUUAUGCUAUCGCUAAUAGAUGGGCCCGCGUCUGAUUAGCUAGUUGGUGGGGUAACGGCCUACCAAGGCUGCGAUCAGUAGCCGGCCUGAGAGGGUGGACGGCCACACUGGGACUGAGACACGGCCCAGACUCCUACGGGAGGCAGCAGUGGGGAAUAUUGCGCAAUGGGGGAAACCCUGACGCAGCGACGCCGCGUGAGCGAUGAAGGCUUUAGGGUCGUAAAGCUCUGUUGUAAGGGAAGAAUGUCGGAAGUGAUAAUACCGCUUUCGAAUGACGGUACCUUACGAGUAAGCCCCGGCUAACUACGUGCCAGCAGCCGCGGUAAGACGUAGGGGGCGAGCGUUGUCCGGAAUUACUGGGCGUAAAGAGCACGUAGGCGGAUAUUUAAGUCAGGUGUGAAAGACCGCAGCUCAACUGCGGGGUUGCACCUGAAACUGGGUAUCUUGAGGGCAGGAGAGGGAAGUGGAAUUCCUGGUGUAGCGGUGAAAUGCGUAGAAAUCAGGAGGAACACCAGUGGCGAAGGCGACUUUCUGGACUGACCCUGACGCUGAGGUGCGAAAGCGUGGGUAGCAAACAGGAUUAGAUACCCUGGUAGUCCACGCCGUAAACGAUGGAUACUAUGUGUAGAGGUAUCGACCCCUUCUGUGCCGCAGCUAACGCAAUAAGUAUCCCGCCUGGGGAGUACGGUCGCAAGGCUGAAACUCA